UCCGGUUUGGCACCGGCGGUCUCCUACGAGUCCCCGGCAUUACCCGCUGGCAACAUAGGAAAGGGGUUGCGCUCGUUGCGGGACUUAACCCAACAUCUCACGGCACGAGCUGACGACAGCCAUGCACCACCUGUUCACGGCGCCGAAGCACACGGGCUUUCACCCGCUUUACCGUGAAUGUCAAGCCUAGGUAAGGUUCUUCGCGUUGCAUCGAAUUGAGCCACACGCUCCGCCGCUUGUACGGGCCCCCGUCAAUUCCUUUGAGUUUUAAUCUUGCGACCGUACUUCCCAGGCGGGGUACUUAAUGCGUUAGCUGCGGCACUGCAGGGGUCAAUUCCUGCAACACCUAGUACCCAUCGUUUACGGCGUGGACUAC
Molecule: unclassified non-coding RNA, 376 nt
Filed under: uncultured Actinomycetes bacterium
Lineage: Bacteria; Bacillati; Actinomycetota; Actinomycetes
Description: uncultured actinobacterium contains 16S-23S intergenic spacer region
Source: RNAcentral